AUGUUAUCUUUUUUUUCAAUUCCUUAUAAUAUCCAUAUUAUCUUUCCGCAGAUUUUAAUUUCCUGAUCACAAAUAUGAUACUUUACUCAUAGAAGGAUAUUAUCUUCUUGACUUUUCAAAUUUAGUAUUUAUUUAUUUUGCAGUUCAUCCAUAGACUUCCCUUCUUUCAUGAAAUGGGAGUCUAGCUGGGAGAACUGGUAAUAUAUUAAUGUUAUGGUUGGAAGAGGAGAAAGUGGAGAAAAGAAAGAAGAGGUAAAUUAUAAGGGAAUGCAACUUUUCCUUGUUUGGAAAUAGAGAAAAAAAUAAGGGAAAGUGAACCAAAUUCUUUCUCCAGGUUCAUGUGAACCAAUAUCUCCAACAUGUGAAGGAAUGAAAAGAAAGUGGGAAAAAUUCUCCUUCACUUCUAUUACAAAUUUUCUAGUGAAAUAAAUGCAGUUUUGUCAUUUUCAAUUUCUCUCCUUUUCUUUUUGUUCCCAAAGGUGAGUGUAAUUUUAUCUCCCUUCAAAUAUGUUAACUCCUUUUUCCUAACAGAAUCUAAAAUUUCAUAUUUCAUAAACUUAAAUAGAAAAAAAAUCCUAAGAAAAUGCCAAGCCUAAAUCCAAGUGUUCAUUUCAUGAGAUUUAAUGAAGGAUUCUAAUAUCCUUGAAUAUAUGGUAAAUCUUUGACUUUCUCCAUCUAUUUUUUCCUUGUAUCAAAGUUAAAUGAGUUGUAACUCCGUGAAGUUUAUGCAUGUACAAUACAUUAUAUGACAAUUAGUAUCCAAGUUCAUACAACUUAGACACCUAGCAGUUACAAGCCUAUUUGUUUCGGCAGCUAUGGUCAAUCGUUUGCAGUUUGUGGCUAUCAAUUAAUUUUUGCUGUCAAAGUUUCUGAUUGAUUGUGCGGCAUUUGGUAACUUGGCAGUUGGAGUUGU
This 913-nucleotide unclassified non-coding RNA is filed under the name Hevea brasiliensis (rubber tree). Lineage: Eukaryota; Viridiplantae; Streptophyta; Magnoliopsida; Malpighiales; Euphorbiaceae. The record is from RNAcentral.